This is a long non-coding RNA of Venturia canescens, 1720 nucleotides long. RefSeq lists it as uncharacterized. Lineage: Eukaryota; Metazoa; Arthropoda; Insecta; Hymenoptera; Ichneumonidae. The record is from RefSeq and is a predicted model, not a curated record. The transcript has 5 exons.
ACGUAAUUAAGAUUUAAAAUCCAGUUUCAUUAUUAAUCUUCGUCAUCCAAUCUGAGAAAUGCAUGUUUUAAUUUAUCCAUAUGAACUAUUCUUGUUUUAGUUUGACUGAUUUGCAGUUCAACAUUGUUAUCUCUGAAAAUUUGAUUUAUUAAAAAGGGACCAAUAUAGUGAUCAUCAAACUUGUUAGUUCUUGGUUCCUUGAGUAGGUAGACAUAUUGUCCUACCUUAAAAUUCUUUGUAUUCAGUUUACGGUCAUAGUAUUUUUUACAUCAUCUUUUUGCAGCUUCUAGUCUAGAGAUAACCGUCGAUUGGGUCUCAGAUAACCUGAUCAAUAAAUUGUCAACCAAUUCUAUGUAAGUAAGCGGUACCUUUUCUUUUGCGAAUUCAGAGGGAAGCCUAGCUUUAUUACCAAAGACAACUUCGUAAGGUGUAAAUCCAGUUGACUCAUGAAGUGAAGUAUUGAAAGAAAACAUUGCAAAUGGUAACCAAAGAUCCCAAUUAACCUGUGUACAAUAAUGUUUCAGAUAUUCGAUGAAUGUGUGAUGACUUCUCUCGAGGGAUCCUAACGAUUGUGGAUGGAAAGAGGUUGAUUUGAACUGUCUGAUCUUGAAGAUUUUGGCAAUGUUAAUCAUAAUCGCACUGAGGAACUGGCUACCUUGGUCAGUUUAAAUAGAUUCGGGACAUCCAUAUAAGCAAAUGAAAGCUUCUGCGAAUGCGAUAGCAAUAGUAGGUGCUUCAACAUUGGACAAAGAGAUGCCUCCCGAAUAUUUCGAUAAACAAUCCUGCCAGAUGGAGUUCUGACUGUUCCGGCACAAACAGUUAUCUGAUAAUCUUCCUUUCCAAAUCACGUCUUCCCGAGGCAUCGAUCCUUUCCACGUUGCGCCUGGACCCAAGACGUUUAUACUUCGCAAAAGGCCUGCGUUCCCCUCAACGGAACUGUUCCCAUUAGGGUUCGCUCCUAGAGUUGAUACGCUUCCUCUGCGCGCAUCUUUCCCGAAGGAUGUGCAACUUAAGGUACACACCUCCCUGUGAGCGGGCUUCACACCCGCAACACAGCUUUCCCCAGGGGGAGCUCUCAUACAUUGAGAUAUAUAACUAGUCGCUGAGGCGACCGAGCCACUCACAUUUGAAGGAACACACGUUCUACCAAAAGGUCGUCUUCAGGGAGUUCGGAUUCUGCAGCGGGUAACGGAUCAUGCACGAUCAGCACCCGAUGAUCAGUUUCCUCAGGAUGUUCAGUGGAAUCUACAGGACUUCUUGAAAGUGCAUCAGCAUUUGCAUUUAAAGAACCAGGCUUGUAAUCAAACUCAUAAUCGUACUCACUGAGCCAUAUUUUCCAACGAGCAAGCCUUGAAGCAGGGUCUUUGAGAUUAUGAAGCCAGGUUAAUGAACGAUGAUCAGUAAUCAAGUGGUGGAAUAGUUCAUCUCUGCGGCAUUUAAGGUACGGGAUGCAUAUGCAAUCGAGAGAUCUUUACCUACAGGUCCUUGGCUCAAUACAGCGCCCAAGGCAUAUCCGGAUGCGUCUGUUGUGAUAACAAAUGGUCGAGUAAAGUCAGGGUACUACAAUAAUGGUUGAGAGCAUAGAAUCUUCUUUAUUUCGUUAAACGAAUUUUCUUGUGCCUCCCUCCACUGGAAUUCAGUCAUCUUGUUCAGCAAUAUUGUUAAAGGAUUGUGGCAAAAUUUGGAAUAAAUCGUCUGUAAUAACCGGCUAACCCCAAAA